Molecule: ribosomal RNA, 607 nt
Filed under: uncultured bacterium
Lineage: Bacteria
Description: bacterial SSU rRNA
Rfam family: Bacterial small subunit ribosomal RNA (bases 1-516)
Source: RNAcentral
CCUACGGGAGGCAGCAGUGGGGAAUAUUGGACAAUGGGCGCAAGCCUGAUCCAGCAAUGCCGCGUGAGUGAUGAAGGCCUUAGGGUCGUAAAGCUCUUUUACCAGGGAUGAUAAUGACAGUACCUGGAGAAUAAGCUCCGGCUAACUCCGUGCCAGCAGCCGCGGUAAUACGGAGGGAGCUAGCGUUGUUCGGAAUUACUGGGCGUAAAGCGUACGUAGGCGGUUAUUCAAGUCAGAGGUGAAAGCCCGGGGCUCAACCCCGGAACGGCCUUUGAAACUAGGUAGCUAGAAUCUUGGAGAGGUCAGUGGAAUUCCGAGUGUAGAGGUGAAAUUCGUAGAUAUUCGGAAGAACACCAGUGGCGAAGGCGACUGACUGGACAAGUAUUGACGCUGAGGUACGAAAGCGUGGGGAGCAAACAGGAUUAGAUACCCUGGUAGUCCACGCCGUAAACGAUGAUAACUAGCUGUUCGGGCACUUGGUGCUUGAGUGGCGCAGCUACGCAUAAGUUAUCCGUCCGUCGGGUAGGUACGGUCGCGAGAAGUAAACGUACGAAAGAAAGUAGUAACGGUCGUGAGACGUGCCGACGGACGACGACGAGGGAGGAGG